ACAGGGGUAGUAUAAUAAGUACAUUAAAUUUCCAAUUUGGUGGUCCGAUGUUCGGUUCUUGUA
RNAcentral lists this transfer RNA (63 nucleotides) under Paradiplozoon opsariichthydis. Its description in RNAcentral is "tRNA-Gly". The record is from RNAcentral. Lineage: Eukaryota; Metazoa; Platyhelminthes; Monogenea; Mazocraeidea; Diplozoidae.